RNAcentral lists this transfer RNA (124 nucleotides) under Stachybotrys chlorohalonatus IBT 40285. Its description in RNAcentral is "tRNA-iMet (CAT) (tRNA-iMet-CAT-2-1)". The record is from RNAcentral. Lineage: Eukaryota; Fungi; Ascomycota; Sordariomycetes; Hypocreales; Stachybotryaceae.
AGCAAGGUGGCGCAGUGGAAGCGCGGUAAGUUGAUGUGAGUCACGAUGAUACAACACUUUACUAACUACCAAUCAAGCCGGGCUCAUAACCCGGAGGACGACGGAUCGAAACUGUCUCUUGCUA